Molecule: ribosomal RNA, 492 nt
Filed under: uncultured bacterium
Lineage: Bacteria
Description: partial 16S ribosomal RNA
Rfam family: Bacterial small subunit ribosomal RNA
Source: RNAcentral
AGUGAACGCUGGCGGUAGGCCUAACACAUGCAAGUCGAACGGCAGCACAGUAAGAGCUUGCUCUUACGGGUGGCGAGUGGCGGACGGGUGAGGAAUACAUCGGAAUCUACUUUUUCGUGGGGGAUAACGUAGGGAAACUUACGCUAAUACCGCAUACGACCUACGGGUGAAAGCAGGGGAUCUUCGGACCUUGCGCGAUUGAAUGAGCCGAUGUCGGAUUAGCUAGUUGGCGGGGUAAAGGCCCACCAAGGCGACGAUCCGUAGCUGGUCUGAGAGGAUGAUCAGCCACACUGGAACUGAGACACGGUCCAGACUCCUACGGGAGGCAGCAGUGGGGAAUAUUGGACAAUGGGCGCAAGCCCGAUCCAGCCAUACCGCGUGGGUGAAGAAGGCCUUCGGGUUGUAAAGCCCUUUUGUUGGGAAAGAAAAGCGGCAGGUUAAUACCCCGCUGUUCUGACGGUACCCAAAGAAUAAGCACCGGCUAACUUCGUG